AUAUACCUCGCACGCCCACCUGGUCUGUCAGUGUGGACCAGACCGCUGAGGGCAAGGGAGGAAAACACACACACACACACACACACACACACACACACACACACACACACACACACACACACACACACACACAGUCGCUCAUCACGGUGACCCCAGUGCGCAGGGCUGGAGGGAGGCGCCAGCCAGCCUCACAGUGUUUCAUCACUGCCGCCCUCCCUCCCUCCUCCGCCCAGCGGCCCACCUAGAGGUCAAGCAUGGGUCGCCGGCUACCAGUUACCUAUCAAAGCAAACUGGUGGUCUUGUGAUGAUGCAGGACAUCAGAUAAACUACUGGUUCGCACUCAAUCAGUCGCUGCGGUGCCUCAGCGGUAUCUAGUUUGGCUGACACCUCUUUGAAACUGACAUACGACUCUUCCCCUCCUGUUCCGUCACCAUCGUCACCCAUUCCUUCGGCUGAGGGCAGCCUGCUACGUAGCUGGUGAUCAUCGGGCUGCUGGUUCUAGCAAUGUGCACGUACUCUUCUUAAGAGGAUCAUUUAGCAUCCCUGCUCCAUAAUCUUCAGAAGUGAUGUUUUUGAUAUUUAGAGGAAAUUAUUUUGUUAAUCACAAUGGAUUUAUACAUUUGAAUGUCAAAGACGGGCGAAGUGCCGCCAGCGGGAAUGAGUGACGGUGGCUUGAAACAAGAUUCAUUACCAAGGCGACCGUGUGCCGGGAUGUUCUCAUUUUUUAAGUGUGCUACACAUUAACUCCGAUAUAUAAUGAAUGAAAGAAAACUGACGGAAUUGUAAUAAUUGAUGGUGUUCCUGUUGAAUAUCCUCCUUCCGCGUGUUUUGGACAAUGCUGGUCAGUUCGCUGUUGGUCAGUGACGGCCCGAGCCAAGAAGACCAGAGUUCAUCAAAGGUGCAGCCAGAACAGUAAAGAACAUCGUCCUGACCAUCGCAGCACCUCCAUCUUCAAAUAAGUAAUCCACAACGGACUGUGCACAUAUUUGUGACUAAUCAUAAAAAGAACUUUUUGUCAUCUCUUUUGGCUGCAAAAUUCCAAUGAUGCUGUUGAAUAUUACAUGUACCUGUCUCACUUCAGAAACUAUCAAUAAUCUUUGAAAAGCUGGAAGCAGAUUAGCAUAUAUGGUGUUUCUCUGGAAACCAAGCAGAACAAGGGAGAAUGAAAGAAAAGGAAAAUUGUUCGGUUUUAGUGUCUAUUCUUACGAAUGUAUGAACAAUCAAUGGAUUAUCUUGUAAUGGUCAUCGAACAACUGUGAUCAUCUGCUUCGUUAUGCAGUCUCGUGUUCGCGAGACUGCAUGGCUUGAAAUCUGCAGAGGCACCUUGUCUCUACUGUUCAGUCUGCAUCCUGUACAACAUGAAUGAGGUUGAAGAUCUAUAAAUGUCAGUGCGAUAAAUCAGUGUGGUAAACAUCAUUGCACCAAGCACUGCCCUAUAUUCAUCUCAUCCCCGAACUGGUCAGCCUCGCUUCAGAACGCUUGCAUGGCUCCCCACCACUUACUUGGCCAUCUAGUUGUCUGGAGGGGCAUUUCAUAGUCAUCCCGCUGCCACCUAGCCAGUCAGAUAACUCCUUGGCCAGUGUAGCACGGGUCUUUUGUUGGUUUAUUUAUGUGCCACCUAAACCAAUACGCGACACCCUUGCUCCAUUCUGGCGGUGGGUGAUGCUUGUCUUGGUGCCUGUGUUGUUUUUGCUUCGGAUUGUUCCAUCUGCAGUGUUCCCUGUAUGUAAAGUGUCCACACAUCUGGUGUAUCAUUCACUUGCCAUUUAGUUGAUCUGAAGUCGGAUAAACAUGUGGGUGUGUAAGUGAUAUUAUGUUGAAUAAGGUGUUAUAAAUGAAUAAUUAUGCGACACACACACACACACACACACACACACAUUGGUAAAUUGACUACAAAUCAGUAGUAACUCUAUUUUUAAGUGAAAGUGCAAUGAAGUAACUAUGGGCAACAUUGAUACUCAUCCGUACGUUAGUAGCUACGUAAAUAUACAUUAUUUUUCUUAUAUGAUAUAAUCUAUAUAACGCCAUAGUUGCACGGUGUUCUCACAUUUUUAACGAUAGUUUAGCAAGGAUAACAAGGAAGACCCCACUAAUAUUCUUCGUUUCCUUUGAAAAUCAUUCUUAUGAAAUUCUAAUUUAAUCCUGAAACAGGACGAUAAUUUGGUACAGAUACAAGCCAUCACUUCAAGUGGGAAGCCUUCUGAAAGCGUUAGGAGAGACAUAAUUAGUAGAUAACACAUAGGGAUGCAAGCUGGAGAAGCGGAAUUCAAGCUUAGAGAAGUGAAGAAUGUUAUAAAUUCAGUAUCUGGUGUCCAUUAUCUUUCAUUGGGUAUCUAGUCUUGUUGAAGGAACAAGAGGCUCCUCAGAAAGCGGAGGGGUCAGGGACGAGAGUGGCUCGAGAUGGCGAAUGAAGCAUAAUAGUCAUCUGACGAUCCACUUGGAACGAUUAACUAGCAGCCAUUUCACACUGGCCAAAUGAAUGAAUGUCCAAAUGAUGUUAUAUAUGUAUAGACCUUAGGGAGGGGGUAUUUACACGCGAAUCAGCUGACCUCCUGUGUGCCUCGCAGUUACACCAUUCCACCGUGUGUGGUUCGAUUGCAGUUUGAGGAAAGCUCACGCUCAGUCGAGUUGUGGCUUCCUUGUAUGAAGGAGGUAACAUUCCUUAGAGUGACAUGAUUCUUAUUACAUGAAUCUUGUCCAAAGCGCCAACCUGGGUUUGAUAUCCAUAUUGAAGUAGUGAGAGCAGUGGCCAGGGCAAGCCAGGCCAUGUAGGGAAUCAACAGCAGCCCUGCCAAGACAUCCUCCUUCCAGAAGGCAAACAUUGUCAUGGCAACGGAAGCGUCCAGAAGCAGGAUCUCAAACAAAGCCUGAAACAGAUGGUCAGCAACAAAUUAUGAGCUCCCUGUACCAUCUUACAUUUUACUCUAGACUGUCUGGACACCUUCCCUACAAAAGCCUUUAAAUAUGAGCAUGACUGACUCUUCUUGUGGGCAUCUCCUCUUGAUUAUCAUUCUCUUUUGUGUGGUAUGUUGGCCUAAUACAUAGAUGUAGAUAUUUUAUUUCUUUGAUGUAAAUAAGCAGCUUAGAAGAUAAUCAAAUUGGAAGAAUUAUAUUAAAUGUGUCAGUACAGUCCUCAAAUAGUAUAAUGGAUCAGUCUAGUUUUUAUAUACAAGAAUCGUGAUCCAAUACACCAAAGUUUAUGGAAUCAUUGAAUAAAGUUAAGAUGGACAAGAUAUUUCCACAGCUUUCUCAACAGACGGCAUGGCAGAGGUUACACUACAUCACUAAUAAAAGAGUGGGCCUGGUAGUAAAGAAACGAGGAGAAAGCAA
Long non-coding RNA from Portunus trituberculatus (swimming crab), 3330 nucleotides. RefSeq lists it as uncharacterized. Lineage: Eukaryota; Metazoa; Arthropoda; Malacostraca; Decapoda; Portunidae. The record is from RefSeq and is a predicted model, not a curated record. The transcript has 4 exons.